AAUUGGAGGGCAAGUCUGGUGCCAGCAGCCGCGGUAAUUCCAGCUCCAAUAGCGUAUAUUAAAGUUGUUGCAGUUAAAAAGCUCGUAGUUGAAUUUCGGGGUUAGUAGGUUGGUCAUGCCUCUGGUAUGUACUGAUCUCACUGAUUCCUCCUUCCUUACGAACCGUAAUGCCAUUAAUUUGGUGUUGCGGGGAAUUUGGACUGUUACUUUGAAAAAAUUAGAGUGUUUAAAGCAGGCUAACGCUUGAAUACAUUAGCAUGGAAUAAUGAAAUAGGACGUUCGAUCUUAUUUUGUUGGUUUCUAGGAUUGACGUAAUGAUUAAUAGGGAUAGUUGGGGGCAUUAGUAUUCAAUUGUCAGAGGUGAAAUUCUUGGAUUUAUUGAAGACUAACUACUGCGAAAGCAUUUGCCAAGGAUGUUUUCAUUAAUCAAGAACGAAAGUUAGGGGAUCGAAGACGAUCAGAUACCGUCGUAGUCUUAACCAUAAACUAUGCCGACUAGGGAUCGGAUGAUGUUAAUUUUUUAAUGACUCAUUCGGCGCCUUACGGGAAACCAAAGUGU
RNAcentral lists this ribosomal RNA (559 nucleotides) under uncultured Glomus. RNAcentral describes it as "SSU rRNA". It matches the Rfam family "Eukaryotic small subunit ribosomal RNA", at positions 546 to 1106 of the family's 1831-position model. The record is from RNAcentral. Lineage: Eukaryota; Fungi; Glomeromycota; Glomeromycetes; Glomerales; Glomeraceae.